UUUUCAGUUUUGCUCUCUCAAAUUUCAAGGCAUAUCCGCUUCAUCUUGGAACUCAUCUCGAUACUGUCCUUCCGUGGAGUACUUGUCAUUAUACUCGUAUGAAUUCUCUUUGUUCCCAUAAUAAUUCUUGUUGUUGUACUCAUUCCUUGUACGAACUCCUUUCAAGCUCUCAUAUGGGUGGUCGCUGCUAUAUUUUCCACUGUUGACAUCAUAAAAGUAUUUCCCAUUCUCCAUUGAUCUUGUGUCACUCAAUCCUUGAGGUUCGAAGUUAGGUCUGCCGCCGUUGUUAUAAUAAUUCUCACGGUUGUUUAGAGUGGUGGAGUAACUUCCGCCACCGUUGAACCUGGUGCCUUUCGGCUCUGGC
Molecule: long non-coding RNA, 364 nt
Filed under: Olea europaea (common olive)
Lineage: Eukaryota; Viridiplantae; Streptophyta; Magnoliopsida; Lamiales; Oleaceae
Description: long non-coding RNA (OEUR_LNC002170)
Source: RNAcentral